UCCGGUUUAACACCGGCAGUCUCGCUAAAGUGCCCGACUUUACUCGCUGGCAACUAGCGACAAGGGUUUCGCUCGUUAAGGGACUUAACCCGACAUCUCACGACACGAGCUGACGACAGCCAUGCAGCACCUGUGCUAGUUCCACGGCAAGCCGCGUCAUUCCGCUUUCACGGAACUAAUCCUAGCAUGUCAAACCUGGGUAAGGUUCUUCGCGUUGCUUCGAAUUGAGCCACAUCCUCCACCGCUUGUGUGAGCCCCCGUCAAUUCCUUUGAGUUUUAGCCUUGCGGCCGUACUUCCCAGGCGGCGCACUUAACGCUUUUGUUUCGGCUCUCCGACCGUCAGAGGUCUAAAAGCCUAGUGCGCAUCGUUUACGGCGUAGACUA
This 384-nucleotide unclassified non-coding RNA is filed under the name uncultured Phycisphaerae bacterium. RNAcentral describes it as "contains 16S-23S intergenic spacer region". Lineage: Bacteria; Pseudomonadati; Planctomycetota; Phycisphaerae. The record is from RNAcentral.